GGUAGUUGGCGGGGCAACGGCCCACCAAGCCCACGAUAUCUAGGGGUUCUGAGAGGAAGGUCCCCCACAUUGGUACUGAGACACGGACCAAACUCCUACGGGAGGCAGCAGUGAGGAAUAUUGGUCAAUGGACGAGAGUCUGAACCAGCCAAGUCGCGUGAAGGAAGACGGAUCUAUGGUUUGUAAACUUCUUUAGUGCGGGAACAAAGCGGCGUCGUGACGCCUGAUGAGUGUACCGCAAGAAUAAGCAUCGGCUAACUCCGUGCCAGCAGCCGCGGUAAUACGGAGGAUGCGAGCGUUAUCCGGAUUUAUUGGGUUUAAAGGGAGCGCGGGCUGCGAGGCAAGUCAGCGGUCAAAUGUCGGGGCUCAACCCCGGCCUGCCGUUGAAACUGUCCUGCUAGAGUUCGAGUGAGGUAUGCGGAAUGCGUUGUGUAGCGGUGAAAUGCAUAGAUAUGACGCAGAACUCCGAUUGCGAAGGCAGCAUACCAACUCGCGACUGACGCUGAGGCUCGAAAGCGUGGGUAUCGAACAGGAUUAGAUACCCUGGUAGUCCACGCAGUAAACGAUGAAUACUAACUGUUCGGAGGGCGACCUCUGAGUGGUAAAGCGAAAGCGUUAAGUAUUCCACCUGGGGAGUACGCCGGCA
Molecule: ribosomal RNA, 646 nt
Filed under: uncultured bacterium
Lineage: Bacteria
Description: bacterial SSU rRNA
Rfam family: Bacterial small subunit ribosomal RNA
Source: RNAcentral